Molecule: ribosomal RNA, 253 nt
Filed under: uncultured bacterium
Lineage: Bacteria
Description: partial 16S ribosomal RNA
Rfam family: Bacterial small subunit ribosomal RNA
Source: RNAcentral
UACGAGAGGCCCAAACGUUAUUCAGAUUUACUGGGCUUAAAGAGUUCGUAGGCGGUUCGACAAGUGAGGUGUGAAAUCCCUCGGCUUAACCGAGGAAUUGCGCUUCAAACUGUCGGGCUCGAGGGAGAUAGAGGUGAGCGGAACUGAUGGUGGAGCGGUGAAAUGCGUUGAUAUCAUCAGGAACACCAGAGGCGAAGGCGGCUCACUGGGUCUUUUCUGACGCUGAGGAACGAAAGCUAGGGGAGCAAACGGG